GAACUCAUUUUCCAGUUACUCUUUCUCUCUCUAAACUCAGUUCCAUUCUCCUCUUCUUGCUCUGACUUCUCUCUACUUUUCCACCACUUUCCAUCGUUGAAAUUUCAAAUAGGUAGUGUGCUCUCGUUCACGGAGUUGAGAGCCUCCCUUUCAUCCGAUUGAAAUUCUGAUUUGGACGGUGGAUUGUAGGGUCUUGUUGGGUGCUGGCUGUGUAGCUAUCAAAGCCUUGCUAUUGUUGUGAGUUGUACUGUACUGUAACCACAAGAGGCGGAUGAGGUGCCUCUAGAGCAGGCUUUGAAGGAAGACGAUGUUGUUGCUUAGUCUCCUUAGGGUUCUAUUAUUGUGUUUUUUGUAUUUGGAAUUACUAUUCAGUUGUUAUGAAUCCACCUGUGAUUCCCACCCUUUUGAAAUACUUCAUUUGUUUAAGUUCUAAAUUCUGCCUGGUUUUGGAAUGACUGUAA
This is a long non-coding RNA of Vigna angularis (adzuki bean), 461 nucleotides long. RefSeq lists it as uncharacterized. The record is from RefSeq and is a predicted model, not a curated record. The transcript has 3 exons. NCBI's taxonomy places the organism in Eukaryota, Viridiplantae, Streptophyta, Magnoliopsida, Fabales, Fabaceae.